Molecule: ribosomal RNA, 380 nt
Filed under: uncultured cyanobacterium
Lineage: Bacteria; Bacillati; Cyanobacteriota
Description: bacterial SSU rRNA
Rfam family: Bacterial small subunit ribosomal RNA
Source: RNAcentral
CGAAAGCCUGACGGAGCAAGACCGCGUGAGGGAGGAAGGCUCUUGGGUUGUAAACCCCUUUUAUCUGGGAAGAACAAAAUGACGGUACCAGAUGAAUAAGCCUCGGCUAACUCCGUGCCAGCAGCCGCGGUAAUACGGAGGGGGCAAGCGUUAUCCGGAUUUAUUGGGCGUAAAGCGUUCGCAGGUGGUUCUUCAAGUCUGCUGUUAAAGCACGGGGCUUAACUCCGUAAAGGCAGUGGAAACUGAAUAGCUAGAGUGCCGUAGGGGUAGAGGGAAUUCCCGGUGUAGCGGUGAAAUGCGUAGAGAUCGGGAAGAACAUCGGUGGCGAAAGCGCUCUACUGGACGGCAACUGACACUCAGGGACGAAAGCUAGGGGAGCG